UGAACCAAGGUGACAACAGUAUGGCUGGGGAGAUGUCUCAGUGGUUAAAGUGUUUUUGUGCAAGUGUGAAGACUAGGGUUUGGAUCCACAGAAACCAUGUGAAGACUGUGUUGGUAUGCCAACCAACCAAAAUCUCAGCAGAUAGGAGGAGAAGACAGGGAAACUCUGGAGCAAGCUGGCUAGCCAGACCAACCAAAAUGUUUCUCUUCAAGAUGCACUGCUGUGUUAUGAGGUCCAGUCGGCAAAGCUAGAAUAGUUUGAGCACUUCGCAUCACAAUUGUGCAGAACUGUGGUCCAGCAUAAUCCCUCUUCGGUACCCUUUUUCUAUCACGAGGCUCCCAUUGUCAGCAGCUAACCACUUCUGUACUUGGACCAGCUUUCCACGCUGCGAGGAAGCCAGAACUAGCUAAGUGUUAAAUUACAGAUAAUUGUUUGUUUUACACAUUGGCUUCCACCUGCCCUUGUUCCCUUCAGCAAUUGUUCUCUCUGGCAGUUUCUCAAAGUGUGGAUUCAGAACACCUGCAUCACAGCUACUCAGCCUGUCAUUUCAAAUGCAGCUUCCUGAACUGCUGCAUAGCUCAUGGAUGAAGUUCUCUCUGGAUUUGUCCAAUAAAGUUAGUGAAUGACUGCCAUUGGCUUGA
Non-coding RNA from Peromyscus maniculatus bairdii (prairie deer mouse), 641 nucleotides. The record is from RefSeq and is a predicted model, not a curated record. NCBI's taxonomy places the organism in Eukaryota, Metazoa, Chordata, Mammalia, Rodentia, Cricetidae.